AUCAACAGUCAUUAAGAUAUAUUCAUUUUUGAAAUAGUUUGGAAGUAGUCCCAUGAAAUUGAUAACCCACACAUCAAAAAUCUCAACAACUAAUUGGGCCAAUAGAAUCCAUCUUGAAGAAUUUUUACAGUAGUUUUCUUGGAUCCAAAGUGACCACCAUAGGCUUGGUCAUGACAAAAAGAUAAAAUACUUUUGAUCUCAUGGUCCG
RNAcentral lists this long non-coding RNA (208 nucleotides) under Elaeis guineensis (African oil palm). RNAcentral describes it as "long non-coding RNA (EGUI_LNC072254)". The record is from RNAcentral. Lineage: Eukaryota; Viridiplantae; Streptophyta; Magnoliopsida; Arecales; Arecaceae.